This 1018-nucleotide ribosomal RNA is filed under the name Acinetobacter sp. 'host CIP 421115'. RNAcentral describes it as "bacterial SSU rRNA". It matches the Rfam family "Bacterial small subunit ribosomal RNA", at positions 19 to 1036 of the family's 1533-position model. The record is from RNAcentral. Lineage: Bacteria; Pseudomonadati; Pseudomonadota; Gammaproteobacteria; Moraxellales; Moraxellaceae.
CCCCUCUAGUGACGCGGCGGCAGGCUUAACACAUGCAAGUCGAGCGGGGAAAGUUAGUUUGGUAAUUGACCUAGCGGCGGACGGGUGAGUAAUGCUUAGGAAUCUGCCUAUUAGUGGGGGACAACAUCUCGAAAGGGAUGCUAAUACCGCAUACGUCCUACGGGAGAAAGCAGGGGACCUUCGGGCCUUGCGCUAAUAGAUGAGCCUAAGUCGGAUUAGCUAGUUGGUGGGGUAAAGGCCUACCAAGGCGACGAUCUGUAGCGGGUCUGAGAGGAUGAUCCGCCACACUGGGACUGAGACACGGCCCAGACUCCUACGGGAGGCAGCAGUGGGGAAUAUUGGACAAUGGGGGGAACCCUGAUCCAGCCAUGCCGCGUGUGUGAAGAAGGCCUUUUGGUUGUAAAGCACUUUAAGCGAGGAGGAGGCUACCGAGAUUAAUACUCUUGGAUAGUGGACGUUACUCGCAGAAUAAGCACCGGCUAACUCUGUGCCAGCAGCCGCGGUAAUACAGAGGGUGCAAGCGUUAAUCGGAUUUACUGGGCGUAAAGCGCGCGUAGGUGGCCAAUUAAGUCAAAUGUGAAAUCCCCGAGCUUAACUUGGGAAUUGCAUUCGAUACUGGUUGGCUAGAGUAUGGGAGAGGAUGGUAGAAUUCCAGGUGUAGCGGUGAAAUGCGUAGAGAUCUGGAGGAAUACCGAUGGCGAAGGCAGCCAUCUGGCCUAAUACUGACACUGAGGUGCGAAAGCAUGGGGAGCAAACAGGAUUAGAUACCCUGGUAGUCCAUGCCGUAAACGAUGUCUACUAGCCGUUGGGGCCUUUGAGGCUUUAGUGGCGCAGCUAACGCGAUAAGUAGACCGCCUGGGGAGUACGGUCGCAAGACUAAAACUCAAAUGAAUUGACGGGGGCCCGCACAAGCGGUGGAGCAUGUGGUUUAAUUCGAUGCAACGCGAAGAACCUUACCUGGUCUUGACAUAGUAAGAACUUUCCCAGAGAUGGAUUGGUGCCUUCGGGACUUCCUACA